This 364-nucleotide ribosomal RNA is filed under the name uncultured eukaryote. RNAcentral's name for it is "SSU rRNA". It matches the Rfam family "Eukaryotic small subunit ribosomal RNA", at positions 587 to 972 of the family's 1831-position model. The record is from RNAcentral.
AGCUCCAAUAGCGUAUAUUAAAGUUGUUGCAGUUAAAAAGCUCGUAGUUGAACUUCUGCUGUGGUGACCUUGCGUGGCUAUGCUUCGUAUGUGUUGCUUCAGCAUUCUCCUUUGUUCUGCACUUUUGUGUGUUGUGCAAUGGGGGCUUUACUUUGAGAAAAAUAGAGUGUUUCAAGCAGGCUGUGCCUUGAAUACUGCAGCAUGGAAUAAUGAGAUAAACCUGCAUUCUUAUUUCGUUGGUUUUGAGGAAUGAGUGAUGAUUAAUAGGGAUAAUUGGGGGCAUUUGUAUUCGACUGUCAGAGGUGAAAUUCUUAGAUUUGUCGAAGACAGACAACUGCGAAAGCAUUUGCCAAGGAUAUGCUCA